UACGGAGGAUGCAAGCGUUAUCCGGAAUGAUUGGGCGUAAAGCGUUCGCAGGUGGCUGUGUAAGUCUGCUGUCAAAGAGCAAAGCUCAACUUUGUAAAGGCAGUGGAAACUACACUGCUAGAGUGCGUUCGGGGCAGAGGGAAUUCCUGGUGUAGCGGUGAAAUGCGUAGAGAUCAGGAAGAACACCGGUGGCGAAGGCGCUCUGCUAGGCCGCAACUGACACUGAGGGACGAAAGCUAGGGGAGCGAAUGGG
This 253-nucleotide ribosomal RNA is filed under the name uncultured bacterium. Its description in RNAcentral is "partial 16S ribosomal RNA". It matches the Rfam family "Bacterial small subunit ribosomal RNA", at positions 524 to 776 of the family's 1533-position model. The record is from RNAcentral.